This 669-nucleotide ribosomal RNA is filed under the name uncultured fungus. RNAcentral's name for it is "eukaryotic LSU rRNA". It matches the Rfam family "Eukaryotic large subunit ribosomal RNA", at positions 24 to 664 of the family's 3401-position model. Lineage: Eukaryota; Fungi. The record is from RNAcentral.
CCCGCUGAACUUAAGCAUAUCAAUAAGCGGAGGAAAAGAAACUAACAAGGAUUCCCCUAGUAACUGCGAGUGAAGAGGGAAAAGCUCAAAUUUAAAAUCUGGCAGUUAUUUGCUGUCCGAGUUGUAAAUUGGAGAAGUGUUAUCCGCGCUGGCCUGUGCAUAAGUCUCUUGGAAAAGAGCAUCAUAGAGGGUGACAAUCCCGUCUUUGGCACAGACUACCAGGGCUUUUGUGAUGCGCUCUCAACGAGUCGAGUUGUUUGGGAAUGCAGCUCCAAAUGGGUGGUAAAUUCCAUCUAAAGCUAAAUAUUGGCGAGAGACCGAUAGCGCACAAGUACCGUGAGGGAAAGAUGAAAAGAACUUUGGAAAGAGAGUUAAACAGUACGUGAAAUUGUUGAAAGGGAAACGCUUGAAGUCAGUCAUGUCUCACUGAAAUCAACCUGGCACUUGUCUGGUGUACUUUCUGUGGGACAGGUCAGCAUCAGUUCUGAUUGCUGGAAAAAGGCCUUGGGAAUGUGACAUCUUUUCGAAGAUGUGUUAUAGCCCUUGGAUCACAUACAGUGGUUGGGACUGAGGAACUCGAUGUGUGGUGUGCUCUGGGGUUUCGGUCCUGGAGUCAUGCAUUCAAGGAUGCUGGCAUAAUGGCUUUAAUCGACCCGUCUUGAAACACGG